CUGCGCCAGGUCCCACAGAUAGAGAGGUGCCGUCAAAGGGGUAGAGGAGUUGGAAACGGUGCCUUUUGGGUCGCCCUUUCAUAUUCAAGUUCCUGAAAGUCCCUCUAACACUAGAGAAGGGAGGAAGGGGGCUGAAUUCACAAGCCCGUGGUCCACACCCAGGCCCAGAUAAUUCUGUUCCAACCCUCUUCAUGCCUUCCUGGUCUCCGGCUCAGUUUCCCCUCACCCGAACGUGGAAAGCCUGGAAACAAAGCCAGCUAACCACCAAGGACAGUCGAUUCUGAAUACUUCCUCUCAAUUGAUG
RNAcentral lists this long non-coding RNA (304 nucleotides) under Cricetulus griseus (Chinese hamster). Its description in RNAcentral is "lncRNA (ENSCGRG00000024538.1)". Lineage: Eukaryota; Metazoa; Chordata; Mammalia; Rodentia; Cricetidae. The record is from RNAcentral.